RNAcentral lists this ribosomal RNA (493 nucleotides) under uncultured bacterium. Its description in RNAcentral is "partial 16S ribosomal RNA". It matches the Rfam family "Bacterial small subunit ribosomal RNA", at positions 28 to 507 of the family's 1533-position model. The record is from RNAcentral.
GACGAACGCUGGCGGCGUGCUUAACACAUGCAAGUCGAACGGUGAAGGGACCGGUCUUUGCUGGUUCUGGUUGAGUGGCGAACGGGUGAGUAACAUGUGAGUAACCUGCCCCCUUCUUCUGUAUAACCGCAUGAAAGUGUGUCUAAUACGGUAUAUUCUUCGCCUGCUUCAUUGUAGGUUUGGGGAAGAUAUUGUUGCGGUUGGGGGUUGGCUCGCGGCUUAUCAGCUUGUUGGGUGGGUGAUGGCCUACCAAGGCGGUGAAUGGUAGACCGCCUUGGAGGGUGGGCGGCCAUACAACGGAUGCAAGACGGACAAGACUCCUGGGGGAGGCAGCAGGGGGGACUCUUGAACGAUGGGCGGACGGAUGAUGCAGCGCCGCCGGGUGAGGGAUGGAGGCCUUCGGGUUGUAAACCUCUUUCGCCAGUGAAGCAAGCCUGUAGCUUGUGUGGGUGGGUUGACGGUAGCUGGAUAAGAAGCGACGGCUAACUACGUG